RNAcentral lists this ribosomal RNA (1339 nucleotides) under Melanconis stilbostoma. RNAcentral describes it as "eukaryotic LSU rRNA". It matches the Rfam family "Eukaryotic large subunit ribosomal RNA", at positions 56 to 1426 of the family's 3401-position model. Lineage: Eukaryota; Fungi; Ascomycota; Sordariomycetes; Diaporthales; Melanconidaceae. The record is from RNAcentral.
GAAAAGAAACCAACAGGGAUUGCCCCAGUAACGGCGAGUGAAGCGGCAACAGCUCAAAUUUGAAAUCUGGCUUCGGCCCGAGUUGUAAUUUGCAGAGGAAGUAUUUGGCGCGGUGCCUUCCGAGUUCCCUGGAACGGGACGCCAUAGAGGGUGAGAGCCCCGUCUGGUUGGACACCAAGCCUGUGUAAUACUCCUUCGACGAGUCGAGUAGUUUGGGAAUGCUGCUCUAAAUGGGAGGUAAAUCUCUUCUAAAGCUAAAUACCGGCCAGAGACCGAUAGCGCACAAGUAGAGUGAUCGAAAGAUGAAAAGCACCUUGAAAAGGGGGUUAAACAGUACGUGAAAUUGUUGAAAGGGAAGCGUUUAUGACCAGACUUGUGCCGUGUGGCUCAUCCGGGGUUCUCCCCGGUGCACUCCACACGGUUCAGGCCAACAUCGGUUCUCGUUGGGGGAUAAGAACAGUAGGAACGUGGCCCUCUUCGGAGGGUGUUAUAGCCUAUUGUACGAUACCUUGAUGGGGACCGAGGACCGCGCUUCGGCUAGGAUGUUGGCGUAAUGGUCAUUAGCGACCCGUCUUGAAACACGGACCAAGGAGUCGUCCAUUAGAGCGAGCGUUUGGGUGUAAAACCCGCACGCGUAAUGAAAGUGAAAUUAGGUGAGAGCUUCGGCGCAUCAUCGACCGAUCCUGAAGUUUACGGAUGGAUUUGAGUAAGAGUUUUAACGGACGGACCCGAAAGACAGUGAACUAUACUUGAAUAGGGUGAAGCCAGAGGAAACUCUGGUGGAGGCUCGCAGCGGUUCUGACGUGCAAAUCGAUCGUCAAAUUUGAGUAUGGGGGCGAAAGACUAAUCGAACUGUCUAGUAGCUGGUUACCGCCGAAGUUUCCCUCAGGAUAGCAGUGUUGACCUUCAGUUUUAUGAGGUAAAGCGAAUGAUUAGGGACUCGGGGGCGCUUAUUAGCCUUCAUCCAUUCUCAAACUUUAAAUAUGUAAGAAGCCCUUGUUACUUAAUUGAACGUGGGCAUUCGAAUGUACCAACACUAGUGGGCCAUUUUUGGUAAGCAGAACUGGCGAUGCGGGAUGAACCGAACGGGGGGUUAAGGCGCCAGAAUGUACGCUCAUCAGACACCACAAAAGGCGUUAGUACAUCUUGACAGCAGGACGGUGGCCAUGGAAGUCGGAAUCCGCUAAGGACUGUGUAACAACUCACCUGCCGAAUGUACUAGCCCUGAAAAUGGAUGGCGCUCAAGCGUACUGCCCAUACCCCCCCUUCAGGGUAGAAACGAUGCCCUGAAGAGUAGGCGGCCGUGGAGGUUGUGACGAAGCCUAGGGCGUGAGCCCGG